AUUGAACGCUGGCGGCAUGCUUUACACAUGCAAGUCGAACGGUAACAGGCCUUCGGGUGCUGACGAGUGGCGAACGGGUGCGUAAUGCAUCGGAACGUACCCAGAGGUGGGGGAUAACGCAGCGAAAGCUGUGCUAAUACCUCAUGUGAUCUGAGGAUGAAAGCGGGGGACCGAGCAGCAAUGUUUGGCCUCGCGCCUUUGGAGCGGCCGAUGUCGGAUUAGCUAGUUGGUGGGGUAAAGGCCUACCAAGGCGACGAUCCGUAGCUGGUCUGAGAGGACGACCAGCCAAACUGGAACUGAGACACGGCCCAGACUCCUACGGGAGGCAGAAGUGGGGAAUUUUGGACAAUGGGCGCAAGCCUGAUCCAGCAAUGCCGCGUGCGGGAAGAAGGCUUUCGGGUUGUAAACCGCUUUUGGCAGGAACGAAACGGUGUCCGCUAAUACCGGGCGCUAAUGACGGUACCUGCAGAAUAAGCACCGGCUAACUACGUG
This 492-nucleotide ribosomal RNA is filed under the name uncultured bacterium. Its description in RNAcentral is "partial 16S ribosomal RNA". It matches the Rfam family "Bacterial small subunit ribosomal RNA", at positions 30 to 507 of the family's 1533-position model. The record is from RNAcentral.